UAAUACGUAGGGGGCAAACGUUGUCCGGAUUUACUGGGUGUAAAGGGUGCUCAGGCGGUCUUGUAAGUUAGAAGUGAAAUCCUAGGGCUCAACUCUGGAACUGCUUUUAAUACUGCAAGGCUUGAAUAUGGAAGAGGAGGGUGGAAUUUCUGGUGUAGCAGUGAAAUGCGUAGAUAUCAGAAAGAACACCAGUGGCGAAGGCGGCCCUCUGGUCCAUUAUUGACGCUAAAGCACGAAAGCGUGGGGAGCAAACAGGAUUAGAUACCCUGGUAGUCCACGCCUUAAACGAUGAAUACUAGACGUUGGGGUCAAACUCAGUGUCGCAGCUAACGCAUUAAGUAUUCCACCUGGGGAGUACGAUCGCAAGGUUG
Molecule: ribosomal RNA, 371 nt
Filed under: uncultured bacterium
Lineage: Bacteria
Description: bacterial SSU rRNA
Rfam family: Bacterial small subunit ribosomal RNA
Source: RNAcentral